UACAGAGGGUGCAAGCGUUAAUCGGAAUUACUGGGCGUAAAGUGUGCGCAGGCGGCCGAGCAAGUCGAGUGUGAAAGCCCCGGGCUUAACUUGGGAAUUGCGCUCGAAACUACUUGGCUGGAGUGUGGCAGAGGAAGGUGGAAUUCCAGGUGUAGCGGUGAAAUGCGUAGAGAUCUGGAGGAACACCGAUGGCGAAGGCAGCCUUCUGGGCCAACACUGACGCUCAUGCACGAAAGCGUGGGGAGCAAACAGG
This 253-nucleotide ribosomal RNA is filed under the name uncultured bacterium. RNAcentral describes it as "partial 16S ribosomal RNA". It matches the Rfam family "Bacterial small subunit ribosomal RNA", at positions 524 to 776 of the family's 1533-position model. The record is from RNAcentral.